This 249-nucleotide ribosomal RNA is filed under the name uncultured bacterium. RNAcentral describes it as "partial 16S ribosomal RNA". It matches the Rfam family "Bacterial small subunit ribosomal RNA", at positions 334 to 575 of the family's 1533-position model. The record is from RNAcentral.
ACGUCCUACGGGACGCAGCAGUAGGGAAUCUUCCACAAUGGACGAAAGUCUGAUGGAGCAACGCCGCGUGAGUGAAGAAGGGUUUCGGCUCGUAAAGCUCUGCUGGUAGUGAAGAAAGAUAGAGGUAGUAACUGGCCUUUAUUUUACGGUAAUUACUUAGAAAGUCACGGCUAACUACGUGCCAGCAGCCGCGGGAAUACGUAGGUGGCAAGCGUUGUCCGGAUUUAUUGGGCGUAAAACGAGUGCAUG